Molecule: ribosomal RNA, 429 nt
Filed under: uncultured bacterium
Lineage: Bacteria
Description: bacterial SSU rRNA
Rfam family: Bacterial small subunit ribosomal RNA
Source: RNAcentral
UGGGGAAUAUUGGACAAUGGGGGCAACCCUGAUCCAGCGAUGCCACGUGUGCGAUGAAGGCCUUCGGGUUGUAAAGCACUUUAGUGAGGGAGGAAAGGGAGCGUGCUAAUACCACGUUUUUUUGACAGUACCUCAAGAAUAAGCACCGGCAAACUCUGUGCCAGCAGCCGCGGUAAUACAGAGGGUGCAAGCGUUAAUCGGAAUUAUUGGGCGUAAAGGGCUUGUAGGCGGUAAUAUAAGUUAGGUGUGAAAACCCUGGGCUCAACCUGGGGCUGGCACUUAAUACUGUAUUGCUAGAGUAUAGGAGAGGAGAAGGGAAUUCCUGGUGUAGCGGUGAAAUGCGUAGAUAUCAGGAGGAACAUCAGUGGCGAAGGCGCUUCUCUGGCCUAAUACUGACGCUGAGGAGCGAAGGCGUGGGGAUCAAACAGG